RNAcentral lists this ribosomal RNA (471 nucleotides) under uncultured bacterium. RNAcentral's name for it is "bacterial SSU rRNA". It matches the Rfam family "Bacterial small subunit ribosomal RNA", at positions 330 to 793 of the family's 1533-position model. The record is from RNAcentral.
UCCAGACUCCUACGGGAGGCAGCAGUGGGGAAUAUUGCACAAUGGGCGCAAGCCUGAUGCAGCCAUGCCGCGUGUAUGAAGAAGGCCUUCGGGUUGUAAAGUACUUUCAGCGGGGAGGAAGGUGUUGAGGUUAAUAACCUCAGCAAUUGACGUUACCCGCAGAAGAAGCACCGGCUAACUCCGCGCCAGCAGCCGCGGUAAUACGGAGGGUGCAAGCGUUAAUCGGAAUUACUGGGCGUAAAGCGCACGCAGGCGGUCUGUCAAGACGGAUGUGAAAUCCCCGGGCUCAACCUGGGAACUGCAUUCGAAACUGACAGGCUGGAGUCUUGUAGAGGGGGGUAGAACUCCAGGUGUAGCGGUGAAAUGCGUAGAGAUCUGGAGGAAUACCGGUGGCGAAGGCGGCCCCCUGGACAAAGACUGACGCUAAGGUGCGAAAGCGUGGGGAGCAAACAGGAUUAGAUACCCUCGUAA